GGAUUAUAUUUUAUUAAAACGAAAUGACAGCAUCUCGAAGAAAUUAAAGACCAUAUCUACAUAUAAAUGCGUAGAGCUCAGACUAUUAAACUCGAAGAAAAAUCUGAAAGUAGAGUCUGAUAUCACCACAUUAAACUCAUACAAUGCAGCCACCAAAACUUGUUAAAGAGAAACAGGCAAAGGCAGGGGUCAAAGAACUGUAAACAAGAUGAGGACAAAAUAGAAAGUUCUCUUGCAAUAGAAAUGUAUUCCAGUGGCUGUAAUAACUUCUGAUUUGCAUGAAAAUUUCACUAACUGCUACUGCCAAUUUCCAUGUCUAACAUUGAGAAACCAGAGAGUGAACUAAUAAUACUGCACCAUGCAGUUUACAUAGAAUCAUUUUCAGAAACAUAACUGAAUCUUCUUAAUAUGCGUAUAAACGAUGAAAUUUCACUUUCUGCUACAUCAGCACUCUGCCAUCAUAAAAUGCCAAGGCACAAUUGCGAGUGCAUAUUCCAAACCAUCACAUAACAUUAAUGCAUGUCACUCAAAAAGGAAGGGAAAAAAAAAAAAAUCAAUUAUCAUGAAUCUUCACUUCUACAUAUUUUUCCCCAUCUGGUCCUUUUCUACAAGCCCUAUGAACCGGUCAAUGUUUAAUCCCCACGUGAACCACUGCCACUUGCAGAAGCCUUCUUACCAACAUACUUCUGUCAAAUGCCAAAAAACCAAAGUUAUCAUCAAAAAUCUGCGCCGCUACAAACCUGCUAGUUCGGUUGUUCCAGCUAGCACAGUAUCAGUGAAAAUUAAAAGUGCUCACAUGAUGAGUUCCAUCAAAAGGAUGUAGAUUGCUAUGUAAGGCACUCAGAAACUCACCUGCUUUCCAAUGUUGACAGGAAUAUACUUGUAUUUGAUCAUAUGUGCAAUUUGGCGCCUCAUCGUAAGGACAAAAAGAGCAAUCCAGUAACAAAGCAGUAUUGGCCAAAACACAGGAACAUCAAACAUGGAAAAGAAGGUCAUGAAAAAUGCUAUGCAGAAUGCCUUUGUGAAGGAAUACCUGGAAACAUAACAACAGAAAGGAGAUCAAUGCCAUGCAGAGAUCAAGAAAGGACCAGCAAAAGUAGCCCUGUGUAGUUGGGGAAGGGGAGAAAGUUAUCUUAAUUUGCUAAAUACUAAAUUUCUCUCUGAUUAUUCUUGAAAGCCAACUAACAUAUGCAGGCCACAGUGGCAAACACCAGCAUGUCAUAUUUCGACGCCAUGUUCCACAACAGAAAUUCCACAUGAAUAAAAGUUACUAGUAACAAACAAUGUUGGAUAAACUGUUCAUGACUGAAUUCUCAAAAAUCAAUUGGAGAUCAUUCAUCAAGGUAAAAAUAACAAAGGCUCUAUUACUACAGCGGAACAAUUAAAUAACGUGUGCAUCAGUGCAUCAACAGAAUACGAGGAAUAAAAAGCUGAAUGCCACUGCACAUGCGAGGACAGUUUUGUCCUAUGUUUCAACUUCCAACAAGUAGAUGGAUACAAAAUACAGAAAUAUAAGCUCCUAAAAACCAUGCAUGGUAUAUUUUGAAAGCAUUUAUAAAACUAUAUGCAUAAAAGAGCAAUUUGAGGAAGAUUUUACUUGGUUCAAAGGCAUAUAUGACCAGUCAUAAGAAAGGAGUUGAGCAAUGUCAACAACGGUUGACAAGACCAAAACAUACAGCUAAAUAGACAAUCAAACAGUUGGUGAUGUCCACCAACAGGCAAAACCACCAUUAAAUCAUUUCCUUCAACACAUACAUGUAAUGCAUCAAACUGUGACUUCUGAAAGAUGAGCUACAAUAUUAGAGAAUCAAAGAUGCAUCAACUAGAUGAAGAUUUCAGCACAUGUUUUACCCCUUUUGUAAUUUGUAAUCUAUUUGAGAAGAAUGGCCAUAAAAAUUGUUGCAUUCAAAAUAGUUCCAUCCCAAAGAACAGAAUAACACAUCUUAAUGCAAAUAAACAAUGAUUGUAAGAUUAGUUUGGCCAAAUUAUCUAAGAAGUUAUGCAAUGAGCUGAAAAAGUCAUUGGAACAGUUGUAUUAUUAUACUUCAAGAAGCAUAAGCAACACUAACAAUGAGAAAAAGAAUCUUGCAAACGUUGUCAUGAACUAUUCUCUUUCACUACAAUUCUUUCAAUACUGUACUGCAAAAUGACUAGAACUCGUCCAAUUCCUCAGGGUCUUCCAUUUACAUGCAAAUUUUAUCUGAGAAAAUUUCAAAAUCCAUUCAUGACAAUUUAGGGCCAAAGAACUAAACAUAACAAAUGUGUUCCAUUUAUGUACAAAAUUCCAACAAUAUAAGCCUUGCUAACAAAUAUGUAAAAGUAGAAGCUUCCACUUGUACCUGUGGAAAAGUAACUUUCACAAGCAUCAAAGCAUCAAUUUCCUAAUAAAUAGAACCAAAUGAAUUCACCUCAUGUUCUAAAAUCCUUAAAGAGAAAAACAAAUCCUCUUCAAAGAAAGUUCAAAACAUCCAUAACCUAUAAAUUACAGGCAGAUCCCACACUACAGGAAUGCCUAACCUUUUACAGAAUAAUAUGUCAUUCACUCUGAAUCUGAACCUCAAUUGCAGAGACAAGUAUUUAAAAAGGAUAUCAUUUCUUCUACGCAAUUUAAGAAUACAGUUAAAGACAAUUGCAAACCAAAAUUUAUAGAACAAUUCAUUUUUCAAUAUAUUGGCAACAAAAAGGAAUGACUGACCAGUUUUCUUGAAUAUCUAAGUAAACUUGUUUUCGUUAACAGAAAAGUGACACAUGCAGUACAACAUGUCAUAUGAGGUUGCAAUCUCAAACCUUGCAUGUUCCCUAGAAACAACAGCGACAACGAAUAAAAAAUAUCUCACCACCUUCAGAGAUUCUCUACAAACAUCUGCAGCAAAUAAAUAAUCAUAUGUUGCAUUCACUAUAAUUUAUAACUAUUGAUGUGAUAGGUACACUUCCAUAUAACUCAAACUCCAAAGUUAUUACAAUGGUUUCCCAAUAUAGUUGAUUUUUUCCAAUCAAAAUUUCCCAUUUUUCUCCAUAGUUAACCCACACCAAGAAAGAACGUUUCACUGAACAAGCAGAAGAUAAAAAAAAACAAGUGGAAAGUGAAAUUACAAAACUCUAAUUACAUUGAGAGAGCAGGCAUUGGCAAUGAAGAAAAUUUUUAUAAAAAAAAAGGACACAUAUUAGCUGUAAAAUGAUUUCACACCAGAAAUAAAAACCUCAUACCUUGCAAUGAAAUGUUGACUAAGAUUAUAAGACAUAAAAAUAUUUAAAAGAAACGUCCAUACCAGAAUUUGAACUCUGGAAGUCGUCGAAUGAAUGGCUUGAAUUCAUCAGAACCCUUUGUUGGCAACAAAGGCCCAUCCGAAGGUUCAAGUUCAGGAUCAACCAAAGGUGACAAAAACCCAAUAAGCAAAUUCAGUAGAUAUAUUCCAAGCCCGUAGGAAACAAUGUAAAACCCUUGAACAUAAUAAACCCGCAAACAGUAAAUAGCCGCUACAACAAGACUCCCUAUCCACCUAUAGAUUGUAUGAGGUGUAGUCUUAUCCAGAUAAUACUGAUACAUCCUCCAAGCAUCAUGUCCCCAUUGGGCUGCAGGUGAUGCUGCUAAGGCACCCUCACCCCCUACUCCCUCCAUUGGAUAUAAGUAAAUAAGUAUCACAGUCCUGCAGAAUUUGUAAAUAAAACCAAUCAAACAAAGCUGCAAAUUCAUUGAUUCACAGAAGCAAAAUAUAAAACAAAAUAUUCAUGCUUAGCAAGUUGGCAUAAACAGAAUCAAUGGUCAACAAGCACUAAUCAUGAACAAUUGACCUUGCAGCAUUAAUAAUAAAAGCUUAAAUGUGCUAGUAUUCAUUCAAUUGUAGUUUCACAAUCUUGACAUAAAACGUUUGAUUUUCUAAUCAUAUUAAGAACCUACCACUGUAAGAAACACCACCAGCAUAAUGCCUACGGUACCACCAUUUACAUGAACUAAAAAUCUAUAAAAACACAAGCCCAAUGUAACUCCAUGCCUAUCAAAUGUGGAAAAAAAAAAUCCAAAAUAAAGCAUAAAAUAAACGACUACCCAGUUUUUUCAGGACCCAAAUGCAGCUAACAAGCUUCCUUUAAAGCAGCUAUAUACCGUCAAUUAAAAACCCAAGAAAAACAGAAGAUCCAAACCAAUAAAGAGGCUGGGGUUCCAAUACCAGAAGCAGAUCUUAAAUGGACUUGUAUUCUUAAGCUUACAGCUUAGGAGUAUCUAUGAGAUAGAGGAAAGAGGGAGCGAAGGCGAAAGAACGAACUGAAAUUUUGGAGGUGAAAUGCGAGCAGAUCUGUAAUGGCGGCCGUUUGCAUUUGGGGAUAGAUUCGGUAUUUUAUUUCUUCAGAGGAAUUUUAGUUUCUUACCGACAAUGACGCGGUUGAACAGCGGUUUGAGAUUAGGUGAGAAAAUGAUUUGAUUUGUCUGUGACACGGCUAAGGUGAAAGUCAAGGGAAGUUCUUUUAUUGAAGAGAGAAUGUAGGAAGGGGAUAUCCUU
Molecule: unclassified non-coding RNA, 4496 nt
Filed under: Hevea brasiliensis (rubber tree)
Lineage: Eukaryota; Viridiplantae; Streptophyta; Magnoliopsida; Malpighiales; Euphorbiaceae
Source: RNAcentral